GCCUACGGGGGGCAGCAGUGGGGAAUAUUGCGCAAUGGGCGAAAGCCUGACGCAGCGACGCCGCGUGAGGGAUGAAGGUCUUCGGAUCGUAAACCUCUGUCAGCAGGGAAGAACGGUCACUGUGCUAAUCAGCAGUGAAUUGACGGUACCUGCAAAGGAAGCACCGGCUAACUCCGUGCCAGCAGCCGCGGUAAUACGGAGGGUGCGAGCGUUAAUCGGAAUUACUGGGCGUAAAGCGCUCGUAGGCGGUAUGUUAAGUCAAGGGAGAAAUCCCCGCGCUCAACGUGGGCACUGCCUUUGAAACU
This 305-nucleotide ribosomal RNA is filed under the name uncultured bacterium. RNAcentral describes it as "bacterial SSU rRNA". It matches the Rfam family "Bacterial small subunit ribosomal RNA", at positions 337 to 634 of the family's 1533-position model. The record is from RNAcentral.